RNAcentral lists this ribosomal RNA (250 nucleotides) under uncultured bacterium. Its description in RNAcentral is "partial 16S ribosomal RNA". It matches the Rfam family "Bacterial small subunit ribosomal RNA", at positions 359 to 601 of the family's 1533-position model. The record is from RNAcentral.
GGAUAUUGGACAAUGGGCGCAAGCCUGAUCCAGCAAUGCCGCGUGAGUGACGAAGGAUUUCGGUCUGUAAAGCUCUUUUCUGGGGGAAGAAAUGUCGGAAGAGGAAAUGCUUCCGAUUUGACGGUACCCCAGGAAUAAGGGACGGCUAACUCCGUGCCAGCAGCCGCGGUAAUACGGAGGUCCCAAGCGUUGUUCGGAAUUACUGGGCGUAAAGGGAGCGCAGGCGGAUAGUUAAGUCUAAAGUGGAAUC